AGUGAACGCUGGCGGUAGGCCUAACACAUGCAAGUCGAACGGCAGCACAGUAAGAGCUUGCUCUUACGGGUGGCGAGUGGCGGACGGGUGAGGAAUACAUCGGCAUCUACUUUUUCGUGGGGGAUAACGGAGGGAAACUUCCGCUAAUACCGAAUAUAACGAACGGGUGAAAUCAGGGGUUCUUGGGACUUUUGCUGAUUGAUUUAGCCGAUGCCGGAUUAGCUAGUUGGUGAGGUAAGGGCCCACCAAGGCAACGAUCCGAAGCUGGUCUGAGAGGAUGAUCAGCCACACUGGAACUGAGACACGGUCCAGACUCCUACGGGAGGCAGCAGUGGGGAAUAUUGGGCAAUGGGCGCAAGCCUGACCCAGCCAUGCCGCGUGGGUGAAGAAGGCCUUCGGAUUGUAAAGCCCUUUUGUUGGGAAAGAAAAGCAGCAGGUUAAUACCCCGCUGUUCUGACGGUACCCAAAGAAUAAGCACCGGCUAACUUCGUG
This 492-nucleotide ribosomal RNA is filed under the name uncultured bacterium. Its description in RNAcentral is "partial 16S ribosomal RNA". It matches the Rfam family "Bacterial small subunit ribosomal RNA", at positions 29 to 507 of the family's 1533-position model. The record is from RNAcentral.